Molecule: ribosomal RNA, 429 nt
Filed under: uncultured Curvibacter sp.
Lineage: Bacteria; Pseudomonadati; Pseudomonadota; Betaproteobacteria; Burkholderiales; Comamonadaceae
Description: bacterial SSU rRNA
Rfam family: Bacterial small subunit ribosomal RNA
Source: RNAcentral
GGGGAAUUUUGGACAAUGGGCGCAAGCCUGAUCCAGCAAUGCCGCGUGCAGGAUGAAGGCCUUCGGGUUGUAAACUGCUUUUGUACGGAGCGAAAAGGCUCUCUCUAAUACAGGGGGCUCAUGACGGUACCGUAAGAAUAAGCACCGGCUAACUACGUGCCAGCAGCCGCGGUAAUACGUAGGGUGCGAGCGUUAAUCGGAAUUACUGGGCGUAAAGCGUGCGCAGGCGGUUAUGUAAGACAGAUGUGAAAUCCCCGGGCUCAACCUGGGACCUGCAUUUGUGACUGCAUAGCUAGAGUGCGGCAGAGGGGGAUGGAAUUCCGCGUGUAGCAGUGAAAUGCGUAGAUAUGCGGAGGAACACCGAUGGCGAAGGCAAUCCCCUGGGCCUGCACUGACGCUCAUGCACGAAAGCGUGGGGAGCAAACAGGA